GAGGAUAUAGCUCAGUGGAAGAGUGCAUGCCUAGCAUGCACAAGGUCCUGGGUUCAAUCCCCAGUACCUCCA
This 72-nucleotide transfer RNA is filed under the name Camelus bactrianus (Bactrian camel). It matches the Rfam family "tRNA". Rfam says of the family: Transfer RNA (tRNA) molecules are approximately 80 nucleotides in length. Their secondary structure includes four short double-helical elements and three loops (D, anti-codon, and T loops). RNAcentral also lists the same sequence under 2 other names. Lineage: Eukaryota; Metazoa; Chordata; Mammalia; Artiodactyla; Camelidae. The record is from Rfam by way of RNAcentral.